GUAGCAAUAUUGCUUAAUCGGAGUGGCGCAAGGGUGCGUAACACGUGGGUAAUUUGCCGUAAAGAUUGGGAUAACUCGCUGAAAGGCGAGCUAAUACCGGAUGUGACUGUUGGGAGGCAUCUCUCGAUAGUUAAAGUUGGGGACCGAAAGGCCUGACGCUUUACGAUGAACCCGCGGCCUAUCAGCUAGUUGGUGAGGUAACGGCCCACCAAGGCUAAGACGGGUAGCUGGUCUGAGAGGACGACCAGCCACACUGGAACUGAGACACGGUCCAGACACCUACGGGUGGCAGCAGUCGAGAAUUUUUCACAAUGGGGGAAACCCUGAUGGAGCGACGCCGCGUGGGGGAUGAAUGGCUUCGGCCCGUAAACCCCUGUCAUUUGCGAACAAACCUUGUCUAAUAACAUUGGAUGAGCUGAUUGUAGCGAAAGAGGAAGGGACGGCUAACUCUGUGCCAGCAGCCGCGGUAAUACAGAGGUCCCAAGCGUUGUUCGGAUUCACUGGGCGUAAAGGGUGCGUAGGUGGUCGGGUAAGUCUGAUGUGAAAGCUCGAAGCUUAACUUCGAAAUGGCAUUGGAUACUAUCCGGCUUGAGGAUCGGAGGGGGGACUGGAAUUCUCGGUGUAGCAGUGAAAUGCGUAGAUAUCGAGAGGAACACCAGUGGCGAAGGCGAGUCCCUGGACGACUCCUGACACUGAGGCACGAAAGCUAGGGGAGCAAACAGGAUUAGAUACCCUGGUAGUCCUAGCUGUAAACGGUGCAUAUUUGCUGUAAAAGGAAUCGACCCCUUUUGUGGCGUAGC
RNAcentral lists this ribosomal RNA (800 nucleotides) under uncultured Verrucomicrobiota bacterium. RNAcentral's name for it is "bacterial SSU rRNA". It matches the Rfam family "Bacterial small subunit ribosomal RNA", at positions 73 to 852 of the family's 1533-position model. Lineage: Bacteria; Pseudomonadati; Verrucomicrobiota. The record is from RNAcentral.